RNAcentral lists this ribosomal RNA (500 nucleotides) under Bacillus subtilis. RNAcentral describes it as "bacterial SSU rRNA". It matches the Rfam family "Bacterial small subunit ribosomal RNA", at positions 39 to 517 of the family's 1533-position model. The record is from RNAcentral. Lineage: Bacteria; Bacillati; Bacillota; Bacilli; Caryophanales; Bacillaceae.
GUGGAAUGCGCUGCUAUACAUGCAAGUCGAGCGGACAGAUGGGAGCUUGCUCCCUGAUGUUAGCGGCGGACGGGUGAGUAACACGUGGGUAACCUGCCUGUAAGACUGGGAUAACUCCGGGAAACCGGGGCUAAUACCGGAUGGUUGUUUGAACCGCAUGGUUCAAACAUAAAAGGUGGGCUUCGGCUACCACUUACAGAUGGACCCGCGGCGCAUUAGCUAGUUGGUGAGGUAACGGCUCACCAAGGCAACGAUGCGUAGCCGACCUGAGAGGGUGAUCGGCCACACUGGGACUGAGACACGGCCCAGACUCCUACGGGAGGCAGCAGUAGGGAAUCUUCCGCAAUGGACGAAAGUCUGACGGAGCAACGCCGCGUGAGUGAUGAAGGUUUUCGGAUCGUAAAGCUCUGUUGUUAGGGAAGAACAAGUACCGUUCGAAUAGGGCGGUACCUUGACGGUACCUAACCAGAAAGCCACGGCUAAACACAUACCAGCAGACU